RNAcentral lists this ribosomal RNA (466 nucleotides) under uncultured bacterium. Its description in RNAcentral is "bacterial SSU rRNA". It matches the Rfam family "Bacterial small subunit ribosomal RNA", at positions 32 to 507 of the family's 1533-position model. The record is from RNAcentral.
AAUCAACGCUGGCGGCGUGCCUCAGACAUGCAAGUCGAACGAUUAAAGCUCUCUUCGGAGAGUGCAUAGAGUGGCGCACGGGUGAGUAACACGUAAGUAAUCUACCCUCGAGUGGGGAAGUAACGUCCGGAAACGGACGCUAAUACCGCAUAAUGCAGCGGCACCGCAAGGUGACAGUUGUUAAAGAUUUAUCGCUUGAGGAGGAGCUUGCGGCAGAUUAGCUAGUUGGUAAGGUAAUGGCUUACCAAGGCUACGAUCUGUAACCGGUCUUAGAGGACGGUCGGUCACACUGACACUGAAUAACGGGUCAGACUCCUACGGGAGGCAGCAGUCGGGAAUUUUGGGCAAUGGGCGAAAGCCUGACCCAGCAACGCCGCGUGAAGGAUGAAGUAUUUCGGUAUGUAAACUUCGAAAGAAUAGGAAGAAUAAAUGACGGUACUAUUUAUAAGGUCCGGCUAACUACGUG